UCCGGCUUCAUUUCUGAACUCCACCGAGUAGCUCCUCGCCUCCAUGUGCUCCUUGAACUCCAAGGUCGUCGGCGUGACGGUCACCUUCACGUGCUCCGGCGCCACGACAGUGACAUUGUACGUCUCCGCCUCCUCAGACACUUUGGUCAGCGUCCGCGUCAGUGUGCGGACGUCGGUGCGGCUGUCGAAGGCCACGACGAACGACGGGUAGUUGAGGCCGGCGGGGCCGCCGGCGAGCGUUCCCGUGCAAUUGACGAAGUCCGGAACGAACCGCCGCAUCUAUUCCGAAGUGUAGCUCAGGGCGCAGAGGAAGUCGACGUAGUCCCGCUCGCCGGCGUCGUAGACGAGGCCCGGGUCCAGCGCGAGGUCCGGCUGGACAUGCCCGGCCCCGGCCACCAGCGGCGUCGCGACCCUUGCGUUGCCGUUGCCGGUGCGGCCCACGGUGACCCCGUUGUCGAGGAUGUCUCCGCCUCUGUUGUCGACCGUCCCGACCGUACCAUGGCCGGCGUCCAGCUUGGGUGCUUCUUCUUGAUCAGUGCUGCGAUGCCAGCGACGUGCGGGCACGCCAUGGACGUCCCGGAGAUGAUGUUGUAGUCAGCUCUCCUCCCGUCGUAGGAAGCUCUAUACGCUACAGGUGCGUCGCCCGACCAGGCCGCAAGAAUGUCCACCCCCGGCGCGACGACUCCGCUUAGUUCAAAAUUAUGUAUUGGGAUCUAUGGAUUAGACUUAGAUUUAGCUAUUUAGGACUAAAGUAUCCAAACAUGAGGGUUAUAAUGGAGUUAUUUGCAUCUAACCCACGUAAAAAACUAUCCCUCCAAGAGGUGCUUAUUUAGGCUAUUUGGGGCUAUUUGAGGUGGGGCCUACAGGGUAAGUGAUCGGCUGUGUCACACGGGAUCUCUACUCGCGAUGCCUCCCAGCCACGACCUCUCCCGGUUACCAGCACUGCCGCCUCCCAGCUCGCCUCGACGCCGCCUCUCAACCGCACCACCACCUCCAAGCCGCGUCGCCGCCUCCCAACCGUGUCGCCGCCUCCCAACAAUGGCAAAACAACCCGCAAAGUACCAUAUGGAGCAAUAGCAAAAUGGUCCGCCGCUAGCAAUGGCAAAACGACAUGCAAGGUACUGUAUGGAGCAAUGUUAUUUGUGAGCGGGAGGAGGCUACACAACAGUCGGCCACACCAAAUCUAGCUAGGAAGGAGCCAAAUGAAUGAAAAAAUACAUUUAUUGUCAAUCUAACCCUUACACACAAACACCUCUUUAGUUAGAGUUAGUUGAGGACUAAUCAUGAGCUAGAGAAUAACUCUAGCGGAGCCAUUGAAUGCAAGAUAUUUUUGUUAGGCGUACCAAGGUUCAAAUCCUACACUGGCACUAAGUUCGAUUUGUGAUGCAUGUGUUCUAGCACUCGUAAUAUGUGAUCAGAUUUGCGUCAUCAGUAACUUUAUGAUCCUGUGGUUUCCAAUUAAGUACUCUCCUAGAAGAGAAUUGCUUGUCGAUACAAUUGUAGUGUGGCCAUCGAAGAUUCAAAGUUGACUCCAAUAUACAUGCAUAAAAAAGGAACCUUGACAUAUCAUUUCAGACAAUCACAUCAUGCCAAUUAUCACUCGCUUAGGCCUUAAUUAGCUGGCUUAAAGGACCAAAGAGAGAGUUCCCCUCCCAGGGUACUCUGGCGCACCACCGCCGUGUACCUGGCAUCCUUGCCAUCGCGGUCCGAUGCGUCGAUGAUGAGGUGAUACAAAUAGCCUAGUGAAACAUAGACCUCACCACUCACCAAUUUGUUGAACUUGAGCCCGUCGUUGGCCAGCAUGACGUGCUCCGUCACCGCCCACCUGGCAAUCUUUUGGUAUACUGGAUCAUUGACGUUUAUGGGAGUUGUCUCUGCCAUGGUGGACGUUGCGAAAGCGUGAAUAGCUGCAACAACAACAACAAAUAGGAGACCGGUUCUCAUGGUUGAGCUUGCCAUGAUUUUGUGGUGGAUUUGCAAGUUUGUGAUGAGAUGAUGUAGAGAUAUGUCUGAGGAGAAUUUGGGGGCAUUUAAAUAUAGCGCUUGGCCUGGGCGCAUUGACACCACCAGGCUAGAAAUCAAUGGAGAGCUGCACAUGCUAAUUAGUAGAAAUACCUUGUAAAUGGAAAGGAUUGAUUGGCUGCUAAACAAGUCAGCUCCUGAUAUAUAAAAUACCUUGUAAAUUAGUAGAAAUUGAUUUAUAUGAGCUUUGCAAUCGAUUUUCUUCGAAGAAGUGAUACCGCAAAAGGAAUAUAAUUAAUAAAUUUAAUGUCAUUAGCUGAGAUCUAACAUCUAUUAUCUUAGAUUUAGCUCCUGCUAUAUAAAAUACUAAUAUCUAUUAAUAGAAAGGAUUGAUUUGAUGAUUAAUAAAUUAGCUCCCGCUAUAUAAAAUACUAAUAUCUAUUAGUAGAAUUUGGUAGAAUUUGAUUUAUAUGAUCAAUUUGCUUAAAAGCAGUGAUACUGACAAAAGAAUAUAAUUAAUAAAUUUGAUGUCAUUAACUGAGAGCUAACAUCUAUUAUCUUAGCAUUUAGCCAACAACAUAAUUUUCCAUAUUAAUUCUCAAGGCCUGUAGAUUAAUUAAAAAUACCCCUCUGCAUACUCAUAAAUUACUCAUAUAUGCCAUUGCCCAAAAGUAAACACAAAAGUACCACCAUAUCUAUUUCAUUAUUACCAACACAUACCAUUAUCAAGAAAAUAGCUUUUUGUGUUAACUAAGUGAUUAAUUCUCGUCUUGAAUGAAAGAAGAUCCAAAGUUGCAAUUCAAACUAUAUUUUCAUUCAAAACUAUAAAGUAAAUAUAGUACAACUAAAAAGUCCAAAUUAUUCCCUCCGAGUUUAUCCUGCGUACAAAUAACCUUCAAACUGAUAUUUGGUUCAAUUUACUACCCCAAAUUAUGUGUUGGUAAUUUGGCCCUGAUGUACUCCGCCUUGACUUGCAGCUUGGCAAACUGCUCCAGCUGCAUCAUCCACAAAACAGUAUCAAUGUGCUAUAUGACGGCAGGCAAGCCCAGCUCCAAGCUAACAAGCGCCAUUCGGUGAAGUAGAGACCAAGCAAGCACCAGAGCCGGCCCUAUUGGGGGGGGGGGGGGGGGGGGGGGGGGGGGGGGGGGCCGGCAGGUGCGCCGGCCAUGGGCCCUAUCUCUAUUCUCUGUACUACAGAUAAUGAGUGGCCGCAACGCCUAUGGCAGAGAGUCGGAGACACGGACUCGCGGUGUCUCGCCAAAUUCCCAAUCGACGGCGCUGCGCGCAGACGUAGGCACGCACCACGCAGCCAUUGCUCUGGCCGCAGACCUGCAGUCAUUGAGGCCUCAAGGGACUUCAAGCAAAUCAGCCAACCAGGCAAUCACCAAUCAGAUCUUUAUUGAAUAUUCAUGUCAAAUUUUAUAUGCCCUAGGUUUUUUUCCUUGUUCAAUUUUUGUCUAUUACUUUGCACAUGUACUCAUGUAGUCAUAUUUUUAUUUUAAUUUAGGUCAAGUGUUAGAAUUUGAGAAUGUUACCUAAAAACAUGAGUCGGGGGCUGCGAAAAGAAAACGGAAGAAACAAGAAGAACAGUUCCGGCAGUCACAACAAGGUGCUUUAGAUAAGUUUUUUUCAGUUUUAAGUAGCGUUGUGCCUGAGCGUGAUGAGAACCUUAUAGAUGCACUUGAGAAUCAAGAAGAGACUAUGUCACAAGAAAGGUUAAAUGGUUUGGCUAUGUGCACCAUCGAGAGGGAUAUCUUGGACACUAUUGAUCUUAAUACCGUUUUCGAUGAUUUUGCAUCAAGAAAUGCCUGAAGAAGUAUAUUUGUAUAAGAAACAAUGAAUAUGACGGAAUUCUGUUUUUUCUCAAGGUAAUCAUAUUAGUUCUAAAAGUACAAAUAUAUUGCUUUUUAAUCUACAUUGUUUCUCGCUAUUGAUAAUUAUCAGACAUAUUUAAUUUUAAAUAUAUUAUUAUAUUGGUUUUCCUUUACAAAUAAAAUUAGUCUAUAUAUUAUAGACUAGAGAGGCCGUCUACGAGCUCGCCAGAGGGCCCUCGAAAUCCUAAGGCCGGCGCUGGCAAGCACUCAUGGCCAUGAAUAGAAACAGUGCUCCUGGGCCUAACGGUUUUGGCCCAGGUUUCUACAGGGCUGCUUGGCCUACAGGCUACGGUAAAGCAACAAAUCAUGAACUUCAUGAAUGCUUUUCACCAAGAAUCAGUUCAGCUUGAGCGCCUAAACAGAUCCUACAGGGUACUUCUUCCAAAGAAGCCCGGAGCAGUGGCAGUUAAUUCUUUUAGGCCUAUAUGAUUGCAAAACUAAAGUCUAAAAAUCCUUGCAAAAGUGUUAACAGGGAGGUUGCAGCGUGAAAUCCUGGUUUUGAUUGAUCUAAACCAAACCGGUUUCAUCAAAGCGCACUUGAUUGCAGAGACUUUCAUCCAUGCAACUGAGCUAGUCCAGAUAUGGCACAAAAAGGAAGUUGCCGGCUUUGGUACUUAAACUGGAUUUUGCAAAGGCCUUCGAUACAGUAAACUGGGAAGGACUUUUCAGGGUGCUCAGAGCACGCGGUUUCCAGGAACGUUGAAUCAGCUGGAUGCAUAUGAUUCUAUCUUCUUCCAAGUCAGCUGUUCUAGUCAAUGGAAACCCAGGACCAUGGAUAACCUGCAAGCAUGGUCUACGCCAAGGUAUGUUCUGAUUAUCUCAUUAUCAGAAAUAACUUCCCUACCCCUGUCACCAUACCUGGUAUAUGUAUCAAUGAUGAAACCAGUUGCUUACAAAUAUGUUCUGAUUAUCAGAAAUAACAUACGUGAUAGUACAGGAAACCACUCCAGGUAGUUACAAUGGAAUAUGAUCCUGUAAAAAAAUCUGGAAUGGAUUCACAUACAAGCUAUAUAUGCACUGUUCUGAAUGAUUUGACCAACAUUAGUCUUUUUUAUCCUACUAUAUGCAACUUUUGAUCCACGCUCUACUCGUUGCAUACUUGCAUACAGUCAACGAAACACCCAAGGUAAGGAUGGCCCGAUGCUGCUUUGUGCCAUAUGUUGAAGGAAUUUUGGGUUUUUAACAGUUCCGCAAGCUGUCUCUGAUGGCUGCAAUCCCAAAAGUUAAUAGAUAAUUUUUUUAACAGCAUCGAGUUUUAACAUCUAUAUAGGUCUCACAGUGACAGCAGGUCGCAAACCAGCAUGUGGAAUUACUGAUUACCCCAUAAACAAUCAACUCAUCACUCAUCAACAUAUAUAUGGCAGUUAAAGUAAGAUAUAGUUCAACAUAUAGCUUAUUCAGUUAUUCUUGUGCAAUCUUCUACAAUAAUAAUAAUCCUACUGAAAGUCGUCAGUUCUUCCACUGGAACGCCACCGGGCUCCUGACUUGAUGCUUCCCGCUCGCCCAGCUGAUCUGCCCGAAGUCCCACUCCCCUGCCUCCCGAUUCCCACCGGCUUCAUUUCUGAACUCCACCGUGUAGCUCCUCGCUUCCAUGUGCUCCUUGAACUCCAAGGUCGUCGGCGAGACGGUCACCUUCACGUGCUCCGGCGCCAGGACAGUGACAUUGUACGUCUCCGCCUCCUCGGACACCUUGGUCAGCGUCCGCAUCAGUGUGCGGACGUCGGUGCGGCUGUCGAAGGCCACGACGAACGACGGGUAGUUGAGGCCGGCGGGGCCGCCGGCGAGCGUUCCCGUGCAAUUGACGAAGUCCGGAACGAACCGCCGCAUCUGUUCCGCCGUGUAGUUCAGGGCGCACAGGAAGUCGACGUAGUCGCGCUCUCUGGCGUCGUAGACGAGCCCCGGGUCCAGCGCGAGGUCCGGCUGGACGUGCCCGGCCCCGGCCACCAGCGGCGUCGCGAUCCUUGCGUUGCCGUUGCCGGUGCGGCCCACGGUGACCCCG
RNAcentral lists this long non-coding RNA (5835 nucleotides) under Sorghum bicolor (sorghum). Its description in RNAcentral is "long non-coding RNA (SBIC_LNC003844)". Lineage: Eukaryota; Viridiplantae; Streptophyta; Magnoliopsida; Poales; Poaceae. The record is from RNAcentral.